CCUCAUACCUUUGGCAUGGGUACGUCUUUUAUUGGCGUGACAUGAAUGCAAGUAUGAGGUACAUAAAACGACAGCUACAUGCCUUCGGUGUCCACACAACAUUAGUCUGGAUCCCAUCCUCAGAUGCUGUGACAUUU
Small nucleolar RNA from Cydia splendana, 137 nucleotides. RefSeq annotates it as small nucleolar RNA SNORA57. The transcript has a single exon. The record is from RefSeq and is a predicted model, not a curated record. NCBI's taxonomy places the organism in Eukaryota, Metazoa, Arthropoda, Insecta, Lepidoptera, Tortricidae.